This is a long non-coding RNA of Balaenoptera ricei (Rice's whale), 2631 nucleotides long. RefSeq lists it as uncharacterized. NCBI's taxonomy places the organism in Eukaryota, Metazoa, Chordata, Mammalia, Artiodactyla, Balaenopteridae. The transcript has 2 exons. The record is from RefSeq and is a predicted model, not a curated record.
GCAGCGCUAAGCUUCGCUGGACGUUAAAUCAUAGGAGGCGCAGAACUCGCAAAGUCCCCCAAACUGCUGAGCGAACCAGCCUGAGGCGCUGCGCCAGCUAAGGUCCGGGAGGCGGCUGAAAGCAGAGUGGCGGGAGCGGCCGCGAGGCCGCCAAGUCGUGCGGAAAGAAGAGGAGUAAAGGCACUCACCUCCACCCAUCUCUGGGCCUCGGCGAACGCUAGGGCGCAGUCGGCCUCCGCCUCCUCCAUCACUUCCAGAACUAGGGGGAGAGGGGGAGAGAGAGACAUAGUGGGUGCGCGGAAAGGCGGGAGGUGCCACUGCUCCGGCCUCUCUCCGGCUGCAAGACGCCCGGGCUCUCCGACCCUUUGUUGCGCCCUGCAGUUCGGUAAAGUUUCGAACCCACGAGAACUUAAAGCCGCGGCUUUCUCUAAACUCCUGAACACGCCGCGGAGACCCAGGCGGAGCGCGGGAGGCGGAGCGGGCUACCAGAGGCGGCGCGCGGCACCAGCCCCGAGGACUGUUUGGACUUCAAAAGUGGCUGCGCGGCCGCCGCCCUCCCGGGAUGCCGCACCCCCGCCGCCCACUCCCGGCCUCCCAGCCGCCGCUUCCGUCCUCCCCACCCUACCCCCCGCCGCGCCCGGGGGCUCCCGGCCGCAGCGGCCCUUGUGGUCGGACAGUCUGGCCCAGGGGAUGCCACCGUCCGCCAGGAGGCCGUGGCCCGGGCCACGCACCCGCUCCCGCGCCGCCCGCCGGACCGCGGCCCCGCCCGGAGGAGAUGCGCCCCCGCGCCCGCAUCCUGUCCGCAUCCUUCCCGCCUCCGGCCGCCUGGCCGCCUUCCCUCUGCCGGGGCCCCGGGAAGCGGCGCCCCCAGGGCUCGCGGCCGCCCGGCCCGCCUGACAUACCAGGAAUAGCUGCUCACAAUUGCACCUUUUCCCAGCCAAGAGACGUCCCCCGCGGUGGAGCGCGGCCCGGCCCGCCGCCCUCACCUGCGGCCCGACUUCGCCGCGCGCCGCUCCCUCUCCGGCGGAGUCCGCCGCGCGCCCGCCCCGCCGCCAGGUGAGGACGUCCGCACUCCCGGGUCUCCGCCCCCUGCCGCGGCCGGAGCUCUCCUGGCGGCAGGUGAGGGUAGUGGCCUUGGCACGUGCGGCCCAUUUCCCCCAGCCUGGGCCAGCCCCUCUCCGCUUCGCUUCCAGAAAUCAGAUCUCCGGAAAGGAACCUGCUCGUCUGUCUAGGCUCCCUGGAAUCUCGCUUCAUGAUCCUGAAGCCCUAUCCGGGCCACACGUUGAUGUUGUCACUGUUGGAAGAAGAUAGAGAUCGGUUCUUACCCCGGUAAAGGAAGCCAUCCCUUUUUUCCCACCCCCCCCCCCCGUUUGAUCCUCUUUAUGAUGCAAAACGAUGUCAAGAGCAGAGAGACUAGUAUAAUGGAUAGCGAAAACCCAGUUUUGCCUUAUUUACCUCAUCACAUUUUCUCCUGAAAAUAUACAUAUUUCCUACUUAAAGAUAGAUAUUUCAUCUCUAAGUAUUAUAAUAUACAUCUCGUUCUUUAAAGAACGCUUUUCUACAUAACCAUAUUACCAUUUUCACACCUAACUAAAGCUAACCUUAAUUACUUAGUAUUAAUAUAUGCCCAGUCCAGACUCAAAUUCCUCCAAUGGAUUCCAAAAUGUCUUUUACAGCUGACUUAGACCAGAAAUUCAAACAAUAACCACACAUUGCAUUUUUUUUUUAGCCUAGUAUAGCCUCCUCCUUCUCUCCCACUCUACCCCCUCCCCCUUUUUAGAAUGACAUUAUCUUCUUAAAAAGAAACCAGGCAGACUUCUAGACUUGUCUUAUGGCUUCUUUGCGGUGUCUUCAACAUAUUUCUCUUCCCUCACUACUUCCUGUUACCUAGAAGUUAGAUCUAAAGGCUGGAUUAAACUCAUUUACACUUCUGAAUAAAGAUUUCACCGGCAUCCUUCCCGACUGGGGUGACUUCUAGAGGAUGGUGUUUAUUUGUUAUGUUUAUUUUCAUCCAACCCUUUUUUCACUGGCGUUGUCUGUAGUCAGUGGGUCUGUUUAGAAGAGCUCACAGUUGUUCCUGCUAAAGUGGGAAACCGUUGACUGGAUCAUCUCUUUGCCUCCUGACGACACCAUGAUCAGGACAAACCCAAAAUGAGGAUGAAAGGAUAAACGAAACUAGGAAGAAAUUUCUUUCCGGCUAUUUAAGACCUGUUCUAUUAAAUAUUUAGUGAGCACAUUAUAUGUGUAAUUUAAAAAUUUUAGACAGUGAAUCCUAUGGACUUCCAACCCAGUAGAAAGACAGACAUUCUGCAAGCUUCAUGAGAGUUACUGUUACUACAGUUGUUUUAUAUAUAUAUACUAUACCAUUUAAAGCUACUGCUGUGUCACUUGACUUACAGCUUUGGGGGCAGCAGCCCAGGAUGGCAAGAAGUGCACAGGCUUGGGAACUUGUAUGACUAAGGUUACCAAGUUACCAAAUUCUCUGAGCUUCAAUUUCCUCACCUGAAAAAUGUGGCGAUAAUAACUACUUCAAAGGGUUCUUGUGAGAAUUAAAUAUGAUGGUGUAUGUAAAAGCCAAGGACAUUGCUUGGCAUGGAGCAGGCACUUAAUAAAUGAUGGUUAUUUCCCAUU